Molecule: unclassified non-coding RNA, 261 nt
Filed under: Glomeraceae sp.
Lineage: Eukaryota; Fungi; Glomeromycota; Glomeromycetes; Glomerales; Glomeraceae
Description: partial contains 5.8S ribosomal RNA and internal transcribed spacer 2
Rfam family: 5.8S ribosomal RNA (bases 1-65)
Source: RNAcentral
GUGAAUCAUCAAAUUUUUGAACGCAAAUUGCACUCUCCUCGGAGAGUAUGCCUGUUUGAGGGUCAGCCUAUAAAAAAUCGACAUCGUUGCUGUUUCGCGGUGGCGUUCGUCGGAAAUUGGGUCAUCUUAAAUCCUUUUGGUUUUUAAGCGACUUAAAAUUUUCUUUUUGGUUCCAUGAACGUUUCUAAGAUUUAUUUCUUUACACGUUUAAGGUAUCGAUUUUUAUUGACCUUACCAUUAAUUUCGAUUCCGGUCAUUAAC